GGCGGCAUAGCUCAGUUGGUAGAGCAGUGGAAUCAUAAUCCACGUGUCAGGGGUCCGAGUCCCUUUGCCGCCACUA
Molecule: transfer RNA, 76 nt
Filed under: candidate division TA06 bacterium
Lineage: Bacteria
Description: tRNA-Met
Rfam family: tRNA
About the family: Transfer RNA (tRNA) molecules are approximately 80 nucleotides in length. Their secondary structure includes four short double-helical elements and three loops (D, anti-codon, and T loops). Further hydrogen bonds mediate the characteristic L-shaped molecular structure. tRNAs have two regions of fundamental functional importance: the anti-codon, which is responsible for specific mRNA codon recognition, and the 3' end, to which the tRNAs corresponding amino acid is attached (by aminoacyl-tRNA synthetases). tRNAs cope with the degeneracy of the genetic code in two manners: having more than one tRNA (with a specific anti-codon) for a particular amino acid; and 'wobble' base-pairing, i.e. permitting non-standard base-pairing at the 3rd anti-codon position.
Source: RNAcentral